This 679-nucleotide long non-coding RNA is filed under the name Homo sapiens (human). RNAcentral describes it as "PREDICTED lncRNA (TCONS_00012693)". Lineage: Eukaryota; Metazoa; Chordata; Mammalia; Primates; Hominidae. The record is from RNAcentral.
AUAUAUAAUAUAUAUUAUACAUAUAUGCAGAUCAGAAUGGACCCUGAGGUCCAUAUAUAAUAUAUAUUAUACAUAUAUACAGAUCAGAAUGGACCCUGAGGUGGUCAGUUAUAGUCAGAUAUGCCAGCAGGAACUCAUGUUUACAUGAUACAUAUAUACAGAUCAGAAUGGACCCUGAGGUGGUCGGUUAUAGUCAGAUAUGCCAGCAGGAACUCGUGUUUACAUGAUACAUAUAUACAGAUCAGAAUGGACCCUGAGGAGGUCGGUUACAGUCAGAUAUGCCAGCAGGAACUCGUGUUUACAUGAUACUUAUAUACAGAUCGGAAUGAACCCUGAGGUGGUCAGUUAUAGUCAGAUAUGCCAGUAGGAAAUCAUGUUUACAUGAUACAUAUAUACAGAUCGGAAUGGACCCUGAGGUGGUCGGUUACAGUCAGAUAUGCCAGUAGGAAGUCGUGUUUACAUGAUACAUAUAUACAGAUCAGAAUGGACCCUGAGGUGGUCGGUUACAGUCAGAUAUGCCAGUAGGAAGUCGUGUUUACAUGAUACAUAUAUACAGAUCAGAAUGGACCCUGAGGUGGUCAGUUAUAGUCAGAUAUGCCAGCAGGAACUCAUGUUUACAUAAUACAUAUAUACAGAUAGGUUAAAUAUAUACACACACACGUGCGUGUGCAUACAUGGC